Molecule: ribosomal RNA, 492 nt
Filed under: uncultured bacterium
Lineage: Bacteria
Description: partial 16S ribosomal RNA
Rfam family: Bacterial small subunit ribosomal RNA
Source: RNAcentral
AGUGAACGCUGGCGGUAGGCCUAACACAUGCAAGUCGAACGGCAGCACAGUAAGAGCUUGCUCUUACGGGUGGCGAGUGGCGGACGGGUGAGGAAUACAUCGGAAUCUACUUUUUGGUGGGGGAUAACGUAGGGAAACUUACGCUAAUACCGCAUACGACCUACGGGUUAAAGCAGGGGAUCUUCUGACCUUGCGCGAUUGAAUGAGCCGAUGUCGGAUUAGCUAGUUGGCGGGGUAAAGGCCCACCAAGGCGACGAUCCGUAGCUGGUCUGAGAGGAUGAUCAGCCACACUGGAACUGAGACACGGUCCAGACUCCUACGGGAGGCAGCAGUGGGGAAUAUUGGACAAUGGGCGCAAGCCUGAUCCAGCCAUACCGCGUGGGUGAAGAAGGCCUUCGGGUUGUAAAGCCCUUUUGUUGGGAAAGAAAAGCAGCAGGUUAAUACCCCGCUGUUCUGACGGUACCCAAAGAAUAAGCACCGGCUAACUUCGUG